CAUCUCUGGGAAAUAAUAUUAGAAGUCAGAGUUUGAGUUGCCUGAAAGAAAUCAGAGAGACUUGGUUAGUUUGUGAAAUCUUUUGUUCAAAGUGUAUUAGAUCCUGUAGAAUAAUCCCUGUUCCCUAUGGAAUAGACACUCCCUGUAACAUGCACAUGUGUAUUUGUUUGAUUCAUUCUCCUCUAUCUCUUUCUCUCACUGAGAUGCAGGUAAUUGACUAAAUGCCAAUGUUUCUAUUCUUUUUUUUCUUUUUUUUUUUUGAGACGGAGUCUCACUCUGUUGCCCAGGCUGGAGUGCAGUGGCGUGAUCUUGGCUUACUGCAAGCGGGUUCAUGCCAUUCUCCUGCCUCAGCCUCCCGAGUAGCUGGGACUAUAGGUGCCUGCCACCACACCCAGCUAAUUUUUUGUAUUUUUAGUAGAGACAGGGUUUCACUGUGUUAACCAGGAUGGUUUCGAUCUCCUGACCUCGUGAUCCGCCCGCCUCAGCCUCCCAAAGUGCUGGGAUUACAGGCGUGAGCCACCGCGCCUGACCCAAAGUUUCUAUUCUUUGAGUGCCUAGGUUCUGGCCCCAGUUUAACAAUUUGCUUUCUGUUUUGAUUGACAUUACCUUGUAAAUAUGUUAUAGGUAUUCAUAGAAUUACAGUUUAUCUUCCAUUACCUACAGCCUUAUCUUCAUGACCUGGAGCUAGGCUCUAUCUCUAGAAACUUGGGAACCUGCCUUCUUUAUCUGAGCAGUUCCUUCCUAAGCCAUCUGUUUAAUUUGCCCAUAUUUGGCAGGUAGAUGAGAAGAAUGCUGGAGUCUUUUAUGUAGCUGUCCACCUGGUUGAAAACUUUUUCUGUUAUCUCUAUAUUGGUGUGAAUAUAACAUUGCCAUUUCUGUCAUUUUCUUUCAGUCCUUGUUCAUUUUGUUUUUGUCUUUGUUUUUGCUCUUAGAGACAGGGCCUCACUCUGAUGCCCAGGCUGGAGUACAGUGGUGUAGUCGUGGUUUACUGCAGCCUCAAUCUCCUGGACUCAAGCAAUCCUCCUGUCUUAGCCUCCUGAGUAGCUAGUAGCUGGGACUACAGGCAUGUGACACCAGGCCUGGAUAAUUUUUAAAUUAUUUUGUAGGGAUAGAGUCUCAUUAUGUUGCCUAGGUAGGUCUCAAACUCCUGGCCUCAAGCAGUUCUCCUCCUUGGCCUCCUAGAAUGCUGGGAUAACAGGCAAGAGCACAGCAUUCAGCCCUUUAAGUCCUUUAAAUGGCUAAACCAAAAAAUCCUCUCCGUAGUUUUUUGGAAGAAAAGCAAUGUUUUAAGCCUGAUGUAAAGUUGUUUGCUUUUAUUGAUAGAAAAUGUGGAGCUCAUACUGAAAACAAUCAAUAACCAGCACAGCGUUGAGAGUCAAGACAACGAUCAGCCCGACUAUGACAGCGUGGCAUCAGACGAAGACACAGAUUUGGAAACCACUGCAAACAAAGCAAACCGGCAGAAGAGCCUAGAUUCAGAUUUAUCAGAUGGACCAGUCACUGUACAGGAAUUUAUGGAGGUCAAAAACGCUCUAGUGGCUUCUGAGGCCAAGAUACAGCAGCUAAUGAAGGUGAAUAACAACUUGAGUGACGAGCUGAGAAUUAUGCAGAAAAAGUUGCUUGGAAAAGAUGCUAAUUAAUGAAGAGGAGCAACUACUAUUGGUGUAUUUUUCACAGAUUGGUGCUUUCUAAAUAAAAAUUGAAAGUAACUCCUAACAUUGAAUGGGUUUGCUACUGAAAAAGUAAUGAUCUUCCGGUGCAAACAGUUGCUUGUGGACUUAAACCUUGGCACUGGUGGGGAAUUUGGUCAGAUUUUACAAUCUCUGUCAAAGAGUAGACAGCUGAACUCACACCACACCCAGCUUAUAAAAUGUCCAUGGAAGAUGAAGGCGCACCAGAAGGGAAGGACCCUGCGCAGAAUGGACGUGGUGAAUGGUGUUUAAAAUGCCAGAUGCCAAAGAGUAACACGAUUCCCUGCUGACCCCUUAACUCUAAUCCAUCCAGCACCAUGGAGCAGCCUGCAUGUGAGGAAUGGAAGGAGCAUUCAGGGCCUCCAAGUGACAGUCUCUAAAAUGGGGUGGUGCCGGGCAGAUUAGCAUGUUCAAAGCUGACACCACUGAGGUCGUGUUUUUUGGGUGACAAAGCCAAAGGAGAGAAAGGCCAAAUAUUCCAGCCCUGGCCGAAAGAUGAUCACUCACCCGACGGAAGCAAGCGUGCUGCGUGGAGCAUCCAUGCGAAGAUGUCAAUUCCAUAGAUAAUAGGUUUCCAGUUUUCUUCGUGAUAUGUUAAUAUAGCAAACUUACCAUGAUCCGGUUUUCUCUUUUUUUCUUUCUUUUUUUUUUUUUUUUUUUUUACAAAGUGCUGAAUUGUUUGGAAUAUCAAGAGUAUUAUGUAAUAAAAACUUGUUGAUCAUAAUUUUUCUUGUUGGCUUUUUGGAAAGCAAUAGGCGAUCUGAUUUUUCAUGAGCUGAACUUCUGUCUUUCUUGCUUUGCAAAGCAACCCUAGUCAUCUUUGUGCUGCUUCCAUGGUGUCUGCUGUCAUUUUUGGCCUUUGCAAAUUGCUCAGGGCUCAUUUGAAAAGCAAGUUACCUAAAUGAUGUUUUAAUGAUCUCGAACUCUUGCUUGAAACAGCCUUAGAAUAAUCCAGUGUACAGCUUGCCUGCAAACAUUUCCCAGCCCCACCAUGACAAAUUUUUAAGUGGUUAGACAUUUUGUUUUGAGGAAGUCCAAACCACAACUUUUCCGCAUUCAGAAAUGAAGCUAUUUAAUUUGCUUACGUGAUGAAGGGAGUUGAUUGUGUUUCACCCAAUCCAGAAGAAAGGGUCCUUGUUUGUAUUGGCUUUUUAUUUUCAGCCCGGCUAGCUGUUACUGUCCUUAUUGUUUAAAGCUGGUAGUUGUAUUCAUUUACUUGGUGUUUGCUUUUUCUGCUUGCUAUAAAAAAACACAGUCCCACUGCCAAACAUUUCUUUCAGCUUCAAACACUCCAGAGUGAAAAUUCGAACCUCAGGAAACAGGCCACAACCAAUAUAUAUCAGGUGCAAACUGGUUCUGAGUACACAGACACUUCCAACCACUCUUCCUUAAAGAGACGUCCGUCUGCCCGGGGCAGUAGGCCCAUGUCCAUGUACGAGACCGGAUCAGGUCAGAAACCGUAUCUCCCAAUGGGAGAAGCGAGCCACCCCGAAGAGAGCAGGACGAGACUCCAGCCCUUCCCCGCGCACGCAUCCAGGCUGGAGAAGCAGAACAGCACACCUGAGAGUGACUACGACAACACUCCCAACGACAUGGAGCCAGAUGGCAUGGGGUCAAGCCGAAAGGGACGGCAGAGAAGUAUGGUAUGGCCAGGUGAUGGCUUGGUACCAGACACAGCAGAACCCCAUGUGGCCCCAAGCCCCACUCUCCCUAGCACCGAAGAUGUCAUCAGGAAAACUGAACAGAUCACCAAAAACAUACAGGAGCUCUUAAGAGCAGCCCAAGAAAAUAAACAUGACAGUUAUAUUCCCUGCUCAGAGAGGAUACAUGUAGCUGUUACAGAAAUG
Molecule: small RNA, 3538 nt
Filed under: Pongo abelii (Sumatran orangutan)
Lineage: Eukaryota; Metazoa; Chordata; Mammalia; Primates; Hominidae
Description: retained intron
Source: RNAcentral